GUUUCCAUGGUGACAAGGGAAACUAACCUUGUCUAGGGAGAAGCAAAGAUCUUGAUAAGAAACAGGACCUACAAGGGCUGCUUUUUUCAUAAACUUCCAGGGGUUCCAGUCUCUGGAAACGGCUGGACCCAAAGGAUAAAGCCAGUUGCUGUAUGAGAGUAACACAAAAUCCUUUUGCCGAGCCAAAGUUCUUGCUAUGCAAACAUGUCUCAUUCCCCCUUUUUAUACUGUGCCUGUUGGGAUCCUUGGAAUGUGAGGGGUAAAAGGCUAAUAAAGACCAUGCCAGGCUUACCGAAUCAGAAAGCCAGGUCUUCCUCACUAGGCAUGAUCUUGAAAAACCAAAAUAGUUUCCUGUUUGCUCUAAAACCUCCCAGCACAUCCAAAGGGAUAUUGCCCAACAGAAAAUAUGGAUAUCGACUACGAAGCAGAGAACCACCUGAUGCUUCAGGGGAGUUCAUAGAAAUCUCACCUGGUUAUACCUUGACUCGAAGUAAAGAACAUCUCUCCGUCACGCUAGGGGAGGAAUUUUUUGAAAGAAAAAAUGCUACUGAAGAACCAGCCCCGCGCUUUGUUCCCAGAAGCCCAGUGAAACUUGAAACGGAGGAUGUUAUUACUGACUUAGAGGAACAGAUUGCUGAGCUGACAGACAUGAUGGAGCAACUGCGCAGAGAUCACCAGGCCUCCCGCAAACUGUUGGAGAAGGAUAUGGAAGAAAAGUGCAAUGAGAUGCAACAGGAGCAUGAGAAUAAGAUCAGGGAACUCCAAGAAGCUCACUGUGCUGAGCUCCAAGCCUUGCAAGUGCAGUACAAGAAAGAACUGAGGACUGAGAGGGCCUCUGCACAAGAGAAAAUGGAGGGGAUGCAGAAGGAAUACAGGUAUCUGAAGAAUGCAUUCCGAAUGUACCAGGACAGUGUUUCUGAUGAAAUGGAGGAGAAGUGGCUGAGAAGGCAGGCUGACUGGAAGAAGAGUGAGAGGACUGAGCGGGAGAAGGCACUGUUACAGCAAAAGCAGGAAUUGAUGAAGAAAUUUGAGCUGGAGAGAGAGCAGCUAAAGAAAUCAUUUCAGAGUGGUAACUCCAUGAUGAAUAAACACUCCCAGCAGGAAAGAGAGGAGUUUAUUAAACAGCACCAGGAAGAUGUGGAGAAAAUAAAAGAGUUGCAAAACAUCAAGGAGUCUCUGGAAGCCGAUUUGAAGGAGAAGGAUCAGAUUCUCAAGGCUCUCACCACAACGAUGCAGAACACUCAGAUGGAACUUCAGAAAGAGAAAAGCAACCUGAUGGCGUUGGAGAAAAACAUUCAACAGAAAAUCUCGGCAGUUGAAUUAAAACACCAGCUCAAUGUCACUUCCCUGGCAGAUGAAAAUGCCCUUCUGAGACGCAAACUGAUCACAAAGAGCGAAGAAGCAUUUAACGAAAGAGUCCGGCAAAAGAGUCAGUUGUGAGGACUGCUCUAAUGGGAAUGUGACCUUGUUACUAAGGGAAACUUGCUGAUGAUGCAUCAACGCUCACAAGCCCAGCAGUGCUUGGAGUCCCAUCUACCAAGGGAGGUGUUGCAAGAAGUGCGUGUGGUGAUUGUGGCUAUUUGGCUUUCUUCUGUGCUCUGUUACUAGAAGUAGGAUUUGAAAACCAGCGAGGUAAGUAAAUUAGUUUUCCCCGGGCUGCCCAACCACUUCAGGCUUCCCUA
Trachemys scripta elegans is the source of this 1682-nucleotide RNA transcript. It is a transcript of the gene named flagellum associated containing coiled-coil domains 1, with no coding region annotated. The transcript has 17 exons. Lineage: Eukaryota; Metazoa; Chordata; Testudines; Emydidae. The record is from RefSeq and is a predicted model, not a curated record.